Molecule: non-coding RNA, 71 nt
Filed under: Odontella aurita
Lineage: Eukaryota; Bacillariophyta; Thalassiosirophyceae; Eupodiscales; Odontellaceae
Source: RNAcentral
UAUUUUUAUUUUCUUUUUGUUUUUUCCGUUUGGGGGUGGUUCUAAUAAUUUAAGUAAUUUUUUUAUAAACA